UAAUACGAAGGGGGCUAGCGUUGUUCGGAUUUACUGGGCGUAAAGCGCACGUAGGCGGAUUGUUAAGUCGGGGGCGAAAUCCUGGAGCUCAACUUCAGAAUUGCCUUCGAUACUGGCUUUCUAGAGGCUGGAAGAGGUUAGUGGAAUUCCCAGUGUAGAGGUGAAAUUCGUAGAUAUUGGGAAGAACACCAGUGGCGAAG
This 200-nucleotide ribosomal RNA is filed under the name uncultured bacterium. RNAcentral describes it as "partial 16S ribosomal RNA". It matches the Rfam family "Bacterial small subunit ribosomal RNA", at positions 521 to 720 of the family's 1533-position model. The record is from RNAcentral.